Molecule: long non-coding RNA, 851 nt
Organism: Mesocricetus auratus (golden hamster)
Lineage: Eukaryota; Metazoa; Chordata; Mammalia; Rodentia; Cricetidae
Exons: 2
Source: RefSeq, a predicted model, not a curated record
GCUGGAAAUAGCCUUGUAUGUGUUUACCCUGCAAUUACACGCUACGUUAAAUGCUCUGCAAGAACAUGGCGAUCACCCUGCAAUUAACUGGGCCUGUUUCCUGGGCAAGGAGGAUGGAGACAGCUACUGAGGGACAUCAGUGUUGCCUGGUUUCUCAAUGGACCUGGGGGUCACCUUGUGACUUAUGCCACUGUUUCUGGAUGGAGGAGCCAGCUCCACAAGGGACAACUCCCUCAGCUGUUAGGGAGAGAGGCUGAGUAUAAGUCAGCCCUGAGCCUCAUGCACUGUGGGCUUCUGUAUGACAUGGUGUGUGAGCAGGGCUCUGCCUGGCUUCUCUUCCUUGGGGCCUCCUCACGCACUCAUAUUUCAGUACUUAGCAUCUCAAUGUCCUGAAUCCCAUUCACCUAUGUAUGAUACAGUUCCUGUCAUGGUGACCCAGUGAAUUCCUAGCUACCUUCCAAGCUCUGGCUCAGACGUGACAUCCUUUGGAUCCAUCAGAGACAGCCAAGCUGAUGCUUCAUCAGACCGGCCUUGCAUGGCAGGAAGGAGACCAGUGUGUCCUCAUCUUCAAGACAACCUGAGAGUCAUUGCAGCUUUCCUGGGACCAUUACAGACACCCAGCAAAGUUUGGCCUACUGGUUUUUAAUUAUUAAAGGCCAUGGCAUGGACAAGACCCAAGGGAGGGGUCCCAGGAUUCUGUACAUAUUCUGUAUGUAUGCACAUGUGGAUAUUUGUGCAUUGACUCUCUCCUUCCCCCAACUUCUACAUGUGAAUGAUUUGCCCACCGUGUGGAAUUUCAUGACCCAAUCUGCUUGUCCCCAACAUUUUCAAAGACCCCCAAAUUUACAAAG